RNAcentral lists this ribosomal RNA (587 nucleotides) under Ophiocordyceps sp. RNAcentral's name for it is "partial large subunit ribosomal RNA". It matches the Rfam family "Eukaryotic large subunit ribosomal RNA", at positions 136 to 745 of the family's 3401-position model. Lineage: Eukaryota; Fungi; Ascomycota; Sordariomycetes; Hypocreales; Ophiocordycipitaceae. The record is from RNAcentral.
GCCCGAGUUGUAAUUUGCAGAGGAUGCUUUUGGCGCGGCGCCUUCCGAGUUCCCUGGAACGGGACGCCAUAGAGGGUGAGAGCCCCGUCUGGUCGGACGCCUAGCCUCUGUAAAGCUCCUUCGACGAGUCGAGUAGUUUGGGAAUGCUGCUCUAAACGGGAGGUAUAUGUCUUCUAAAGCUAAAUACCGGCCAGAGACCGAUAGCGCACAAGUAGAGUGAUCGAAAGAUGAAAAGCACUUUGAAAAGAGGGUUAAACAGUACGUGAAAUUGUUGAAAGGGAAGCGCUUGUGACCAGACUCGGGCGCGACGAAUCAUCCGGCGUUCUCGCCGGUGCACUUCGCCGCGCCCGGGCCAGCAUCAGCUCGCCGCGGGGGACAAAGGCGCCGGGAACGUGGCUCCCCAGGGAGUGUUAUAGCCCGGCGCGCAAUGCCCCGGGGCGGGCUGAGGUUCGCGCGUCCGCAAGGAUGCUGGCGUAAUGGUCACCAGUGACCCGUCUUGAAACACGGACCAAGGAGUCGUCCUCGUGUGCGAGUGUUCGGGUGUCAAACCCCUACGCGCAAUGAAAGUGAACGCAGGUGAGAGCCCU